CUACGGGCUGCACCAGUGGGGAAUAUUGGACAAUGGGGGAAACCCUGAUCCAGCAAUGCCGCGUGUGUGAAGAAGGCCUGCGGGUUGUAAAGCACUUUCGGUUGGGAGGACUGCUUCUAGCACUAAUAUUGUUGGAAGUUGACGUUACCUUCAGAAGAAGCACCGGCUAACUCCGUGCCAGGCAGCCGCGGUAAUACGGAGGGUGCAGUGCGUUAGUCAGAAUUACUGGGAGUAAAGCGCGCGUAGGCGGCUAGAUCAGUCGGGUGUGAAAGCCCCGGGCUUAACCUGGGAACUGCAUCCGAUACUGUCUAGCUUGAGUACAGGAGGGGGGAGUGGAAUUCCACAUGUAGCGGUGAAAUGCGUAGAUAUGUGGAGGAACACCAAUGGCGAAGGCAGCUCUCUGGCCUGAUACUGACGCUGAGGUGCGAAAGCGUGGGGAGCAAACAGGAUUAGAUACCCGCGUAGUC
This 467-nucleotide ribosomal RNA is filed under the name uncultured bacterium. RNAcentral's name for it is "partial 16S ribosomal RNA". It matches the Rfam family "Bacterial small subunit ribosomal RNA", at positions 339 to 795 of the family's 1533-position model. The record is from RNAcentral.